GUUCCUGGCUCCCUUUCGCCCGCAGGUCGCCCAAGUCCAGCCCCACGACGCAGUGCCGACUCCCCGCCGUGCCCCCAGCCCGGCCCGGGUUGCGGAGCCCUGCUCCUGGGCCUCUGCCUGCUGCGUCCACCCUGGGGGAAGCGCCCGUCGUACCCUCCACACCGGGGGCUUCCCCUGACCCCUUAGGCCCUCCCCCUGCAGGUGCCCUCGCGCCCCUCCCGGGGUCCCCAGGUAGCCGAAGCAGGGAGAGAGAAGGCAGCAUACGUCAGCGUUUUCUUCUAUGCACUUAUAAGAAAGAUCAAAGACUUUAAGACUUUCACUAUUCCUUCUACCACUGUCUACUACAAACUUCAAAGAGGAACCAGGAGUACAGGAGGAACAUGAAAGUGGACAAGGAGCGUGACCAUUGAAGCACAGCACCACAGGGAGGGGUUUAGGCCUCCGGAUGACUGCGGGCAGGCCUGGAUACUAUCCAGCCUCCCACAAGAAGCUGGUGGAGCAGAGUGUUCCCUGACUCCUCCAAGGAAAGGGAGACUCCCUUUCGCGGUCUGCUAAGUAACGGGUGCCUUCCCAGACACUGGCGUUACCACUUGACCAAGGAGCCCUCAAGCGGACCUUAUGCGGGCAUGACAGGGCUCACCUCUUGCCUUCUACAUCACUUCUCACAAUGUCCCUUCAGCACCUGACCCUAUACCCGCAGGUUAUUCCUAGGUUAUAUUAGUAAUUAAAAGCUAAUGAUUAAUAAUGUUUAUAGUAAUGAUUGGUAAUUGUCUAUGAUCAUCUCUAUAUCUAAUUUGUAUUAUGACUAUUCUUAUUCUAAUUAUUUUCUUUAUUAUAUUGAAACAGUUUGUGCCUUCAGUCUCUUGCCCCAGCACCUGAGUAAUCCUCCACCCACAGGGCCACAGGCCCCAUGAGAUCUCUGAGGCCACAGAGUGUGUCCACACACGUGACCUCCAGGGUGAUUCGGGCCAGAGCACAGGAAUGGCCCAGGCAGAGGUGGCCUGGGCGUGGGCAGAGAUGGCUCGGGCUGGGCCUGAGGCAUCCAGGGGCUCAGCAUCGCAUCUCCUCAGGGGGGCCAUCUGAGACUGCUGGGCCAGUGAAGAGGCUUCUCCCGGGUACCCACCUGUCCUGUCCAAGAGAGAACAGCCAGCCCCACAGCCCCAAAUGUCUCUGUCCUCCAAGAGGCCAGAUGUGAAUCACAGGAAUUUACAGCCCAGCCUGGCAUGGGAUUUAUGAGUCUGCCUCCAGCCAGGGCUGGUGGGGAGUGGCCACUGUCAGCCCCCCAUUGCCGCUGAUGGAUGAGGCUGUUUCCUGUAAGACAAACUCCCUCUGUGGCAGGCAGUGGAGGGAGACACAUCCAGGCCCUAGGGCCAACCCCAUACCUGUCCCAGAGCCGGAUCCCUCGUGCCCUCACAGUCCAUGCCUCCCCUUGAUCCCCAGCCCUACACAGUGACACGCAAGCAGGAGGUGCACCCAAGGGGCCCAGCUCUUAGCCAGAGCUCUGCCUCCCACACUGCCAUCUGCACCCCCUCCCCAUGACCUUUAAAACCUUUCCAUCCCAGGGCCCAAGCCUUGGGACCAGCCCAAGAUGGGAUAUACCACACUCAAAGCCAGAAUGGAUCUCUGAGGUAGCCCAGAACACACACACGCACGCACGCACGCAUAUAUACACACACAUGCAUGCAUGCACAUACACAGUACACAGAUGAGAAACCAGGGUCCAGAGAGGAAUGGGCCUUGCCCAAAGUCACCCAGCAGCACAGUGGUGAAGCUGAGACCCCAGCCCACAAGCCCCCUGGACUGGUCAUUUCAGUGUCCGGUCACAGUGGACUGUCAUAUGGCCACAGGGGUAGUUUUCACCUCCAAAUGCAGGUGCCUCUCCAGAGAACAGACAGACCUGGGUUUGAGUCCAUGCCCCACCACUCUGUGUGUAAAGGUCAUAAACUCUCUGUGCCCGUUCCCUCACCUGAAAAAUGGGGAUCAAAAUAACCCCAACUUACCAAGGUUCUUACGAGGUUCAAGUGAGAGGAUGCAGGUAGAGCCGCAGGACAGAGUGGGCCCCUGGCACAUGCUCCCUGAGUGGUAACAAUGGUUCUCCACCAUCUCUCGUGUCUCAAGGGGCCCCGCUGCCUGAUUUGCUGCGGGCAGGAGGACAGUCAUGGUUGGGUGGGGCAGGAGGAGCAAGGAGAGUUUGAGUGUGGGACUGCAGGGCAGGAGUGAGGCCACUUCCUACUGGAGGAGACCCUGGAAGUCUCCCUGGAGGUGGUGGCAUCAAGCAGAGGAUGUAGAACUCUGUUUCUCUUGCUCUGAAGCUGACUGGGGGCUUCUUGAUUGCCACAGGGAUGGAGGGAAGCACCCUACCCUGAAAGCCUAGCCCAAGCUUCUGCCCUGGAUGACCUGAGGAGGAGUCCCUCCUUUCUCUGGGCAUCAGCAAAAUGGGGCCGGGAGGACUAGACAACACUCCCUAGAGGCACCUUUCUGCUCUGGCCUUGUUGCAAGCUGAAGAAGGUCCUCCAGACCCACCCUCUGCAGUACCCAAUUAUUGCCACUGGGCAGCAGCAGGGAGUAAAUCUGCGGUCCGGCCUCCUUUCCCUGCCGGCCAGUCCCUCUCCCAGCAUCCGGUGGUCUUUGCUCCUCCGUCCCCCCGCCAACUCGCCAGAGAGCCAGAGCUGAGCGUCCUUCACAUCCAGACAUCUGAUGCUCCCCUCAGCCCUGCAGAGAGCCAGCAUGCUGGCUGCUUUUCAGAUGGGGAAACUGAUGGCCAAGAGGUGAGGACUUGCUCAAGGUCACGCAAGAGCCAAGUGUGCCCACAGCGGAGGUGGUGUGAAAGGAGACUGCGGUCACACGGACCUGGCUGGGAUCCUGGUCUCCUCACCUCCAGCUGUGUGUCAUCGGGCAGGUCACCCACCCUCUCUGAGCCUCAAUUGAUAUAAGUGCUGAACACAUGAAGCCACCGCUUUGUUUCCAAUAGAGUUUAUGCCCCAAGAGUGCAAAGACAUGUCUGUCACUCACCUCAGCACCCCCAGAGCCUGGCGCAGGGUGGGAUUCGGAGAAUAGCGCCUGCCUCCCAGGGCCUGCCUGGCACUCAGCAGACACUGUGUCUCCUCAAACCGCAACCCCCCAACCUGGCCCCAGCCCUGGAUCAGCCUCACCUCGCCUCAUUCCCCUCCCAUCAGUCUUUCCUGCAGGACACCCACCCACCCGGCCUUGAGGGGGGGCUCCUGCUCACCUCCCCACCCCAUCCCUCUCGGCCCCCUUUCUCUGUCCUGGCCUCUCCCUCAUGUCGCUCUCUCCUGCCGAGCCCCCACUUGGCUCUACGCUGUUUACAAGAGAAUGAUGACAGUUUUUAUUUCUCUGUUUUAUCUCCCUUCCUCCCCUGAAGGGAAACGUGCUUCCAAUCUUCCAGGAAAAAUUGAAGGCUCCGGAUGAGAAAAAGCAAACAAAGGACAGUGGGACCAUGGGCGUCCCCACCCCCACCACCCGCAGGCCCCACACUCAAACCAGCGCCCGUGCCCACGCCCAUGCAGCCGUCCUCCGCCAGGCCCCAAGAACGGCUGUUACUUUGGGGGCCGAGGCACAAGGGAGGCCCCAUUCAUCUUCCCUGGAGUCGGCAUCCCUUUGAUUGCGGGGCCACCUCUCAUCUGAACAUCUUCACCCCCCCCCAAUAUUCCUUCUGAACCCUCCAUCCUCCUUCUCCCCUUCUCUUGGGACCAUAAACCUACCCCAAGAGUGAGUCCUAGCUCCAGGGCCAGCUCCCAAUCCUGCCUCUGUCUGGUGGCAGCUGGGGCCAGGCUGAAGGUCUGUCCUAGACUGAGCCAUAAAGGCAAAAAUAAUACUUACUCCUAAUAGAAGUAAAGCACUUCACCCUAGAUGAGCCCUGGUCCUGGUCACACACAGAACCUAGACCUUUAUUUAGAGAUGGACCAUUAAUUUGUCAUGUGGGCUAGGCAUGGUGGCUCAAACCUGUAAUCCCACUUUGGGAGGCCCAAGCAGGAGGAUCACUUGAGGCCAUGAGUUCGAGACCAGCCUAGGCAACAUAACAAGACCACGUCUCUACAAAAAGAUUUAAAAAUUAACCAGGUUUGGUGGCAUGUGCCUGUAGUCCCAGCUACUGCAGUGAACCAAGAUUGUGCCACUGCACUCCAGCCUGGGCAACGGAGCAAGAUCCUGUCACAAAAAAAAAUUAUCACGUGGCCGAAGUUAUUUCCAGGCUCCGAGCGCCAGCUUCCUCAUCUUUCCAACAGAGGGCCUUCACCUGGGCUAAGUGUUAAAUCAGAAAGCCCCUAUUCAGAGGUUGGCCUGCAGUUCCCUGACCUGGUAACACUGGGGAGCAUUGGCUGCUGUCACCUGCCAGCUCCCACCCCCACCCAACACUUACACACCAAGCAUCACUAAUUUUUGCAGCUGCCAUGAUAAAUGGCACUGUUGGCAAAAUGACAUCUUUCUAAUCUGCCACAAGACAGACGGGUCCCCGAGCUCCCACAGCCUCCCAAGAGCCAGCCCAGGCCAUCCUUGUUGAGAGGAUGGGCAGAUGCAAAGCCCAGGGCCUGGGGGCGGGUGGGAUGGAGAGGAGACCUCAGGGCCCAGAAUCAAGGACAUCCCUAGUGGGGUUUACCACAGGCUCUUUUCUAAAUAUUUAGUUGUAUGUGUGCUUUUAAAAAUAUUCCAAAGAAUAUUAUAUGCUCUGUUCCUUUCUGACCAAAGUUAGGGCUUCAAUUCAAUUUUCUUUUCUUUUCUUUCUUUUUUUUAGACAGGGUCUUGCUGUAUCGCCCAAGCUGGAGUGCAGUGGCACAAUCACAGCUCACUGCAGCCUUGACCUCCUGGGCUCAAGCGAUCCCCCCACCUCAGCCACCUGAGUAGCUGGGUCUAUAGGCGCCAGCUACCAUGCCUGGCUAAUCUUUGUAUUUUAUUUUGUAGACACGGGGUCUCGCCAUGUUGUCCAGGCUGGUCUUGAACUCUUGACCUCAAAUGAUCUGCUUGCCUUGCUCUCCCAAAAUGCUGGGAUUUCAGGCUUGGGCCACUGCACCCAGCCUCAAUUUUCACUUUAAAUUAAAACCUGGAUAUUGUUCAGGUUUAUAAGGAUGAACCAUUAGACACUGGUUCUGAGGCGGUGCUCUCUUCCUGUCACCCUCUGCUCUGCGGAACAGUCUGCCUCUGCCUGAGCCAUUAGGUCUGGGGGCUUUCUCACCCCCCUCCUCCCUCCCACUCCCUCCAUGGCUCCCACCCUCCCACCCAGCCUCUUUGCUGACCUCAGCCGCAUCCCCUCCAUGCCUCACACUGGCCUGGGACUGCCAGGUUCCUGUGUCCAGGAGUAGAGGUGAAUUGGGGCUCUGGAUGCCAAGAACAGAGGAAGGACAAAUGCCAGCCCCAGAGACCCUCACCUCCUCAAGACCAACAGGAGCUGGCGCCUGUCCGCCCAGCAGCAGCAAAGCCAGAGCGGGUGCCAGCCAGGGUGGGUAGGCACAGGCCUGGGCUUGAAGAUUGAGACAGCGCUGCCCCCUCCUGGCUAAUUCACGGCUGCUCCUCUGACAGGCACUGCCAGGCUAAGCUGUUGAGGUUGGGGACAUAGUGAGUGACCCCAAAAACAGCAUGUGACAAGCUGACCUUCCCUGCAGUCUGCCCAGCUGGGAGCUGCCUCCCACUCUGCCCAUCCUGUCCGAGCUUCUCCCAAAGCAUCUUCCGGCCCUCACACCUUCAGGGCAAAGCCCGAGGCCCCUCCCGGCUGCCCACAAUGUGGCCCCGGGUAGCAGCCUCGCCCCCUGCACCCCAGGCCCCUGCUGCUCUGUGCCUCCCCAGUUCCCUGUCACUGCACCUGCAUGCUUUGCUCUCACCUUGACCUCCACCUUCGCCCUCCCCAGCAGUCUCCUCUUGUCCUCUUAGGUCCCUCCCCGAGGAAACUCCUCUCCCAACUCCCAACCAGAGGGACUCCGCUCCUCUGCCUGCACCCCGACCUGCCCUGCCCCUGUCUCGGGGACUGCACACUGUCAGCACAGUCCCACAGUUCUGGAACUUGGGAGAACCUAGACCUCUUCCAAGCCUACCCUGUGCACUGUCUAAAGGGCAAUCCUGAGCCCAGAGAGGGGCAGGAGCUGCACAAGGCCACACAGCCUGUAAUGGCAGUUAGGACUGGAAUGCAGCUCUCCCGAGUCUCUGCCUGGGGCUCCUUGGAGGACAGACACAUGGCUUCCCCACCUGGUGAACCAGAAUGGAACUCUUCAAGGACAGGGACUGUAUCAUUCCUUCCAGUGUCCCCAGCCCCUCACCCAGAGCAGGACCCACAGGAAGCAACUGUGAACAGAAAAGGAAAAAACAAAUACAUGAAAAUGUAUCUCUAAUGUCUUCUGUGUGCCGGACACUCAGCAGGUACCGGCUCUGCUACUAGAAAUCUUGG
Molecule: long non-coding RNA, 6391 nt
Filed under: Homo sapiens (human)
Lineage: Eukaryota; Metazoa; Chordata; Mammalia; Primates; Hominidae
Description: non-protein coding lnc-CSPG4-1:13
Source: RNAcentral